GAUGAAGAACGUAGCGAAAUGCGAUAAGUAAUGUGAAUUGCAGAAUUCAGUGAACCAUCGAAUCUUUGGACGCACAUUGCGCCCGGCAGUAAUCUGCCGGGCAUGCCUGUCCGAGCGUCAUUUCUCCCCUCGAGCGCAGCUUUCCCCCCCGGGGGAGGGCCGCGCCCGGUGUUGGGGCGCUACGGAGGAGCCCAGCGCUCCCCCGUAGGCCCCGAAAUGUAGUGGCGGUCCCGCCGCGGCGCCCCCUGCGUAGUAGUUUUACAACUCGCAUCGGGUCCCGGCGGAGGCCAGCCGUCAAACCCCCCAACUUCAAUAGUUUGACCUCGGAUCAGGUAGGGUUACCCGCUGAACUUAAGCAUAUCAAUAAGCGGAGGA
This 375-nucleotide unclassified non-coding RNA is filed under the name soil metagenome. Its description in RNAcentral is "partial contains 5.8S ribosomal RNA, internal transcribed spacer 2, and large subunit ribosomal RNA". The stretch from base 1 to 120 matches the Rfam family "5.8S ribosomal RNA", at positions 35 to 154 of the family's 154-position model. The record is from RNAcentral.